GAGGGUAUAGCCCAGUGGGAGAGCACAUGUUUAGCAUGCAUGAAGUCCUGGAUUCAAUCCUCAAUACUCUCC
This 72-nucleotide transfer RNA is filed under the name Camelus bactrianus (Bactrian camel). It matches the Rfam family "tRNA". Rfam says of the family: Transfer RNA (tRNA) molecules are approximately 80 nucleotides in length. RNAcentral also lists the same sequence under 1 other name. Lineage: Eukaryota; Metazoa; Chordata; Mammalia; Artiodactyla; Camelidae. The record is from Rfam by way of RNAcentral.